UCUAAGUUCCCGACGCCUCUUGGCCC
RNAcentral lists this non-coding RNA (26 nucleotides) under Homo sapiens (human). The record is from RNAcentral. Lineage: Eukaryota; Metazoa; Chordata; Mammalia; Primates; Hominidae.